GGUAGUCCACGCCCUAAACUAUGUCAACUGGUUGUCGGGGAAGCAAUUCCUUGGUAACGAAGCUAACGCGUGAAGUUGACCGCCUGGGGAGUACGGCCGCAAGGUUAAAACUCAAAGGAAUUGACGGGGACCCGCACAAGCGGUGGAUUAUGUGGAUUAAUUCGAUGCAACGCGAAAAACCUUACCUACCCUUGACAUGCCAGGAACCUCGCAGAGAUGUGAGGGUGCCCGAAAGGGACCUGGACACAGGUGCUGCAUGGCUGUCGUCAGCUCGUGUCGUGAGAUGUUGGGUUAAG
Molecule: ribosomal RNA, 296 nt
Filed under: uncultured bacterium
Lineage: Bacteria
Description: partial 16S ribosomal RNA
Rfam family: Bacterial small subunit ribosomal RNA
Source: RNAcentral